Molecule: transfer RNA, 73 nt
Filed under: bacterium 336/3
Lineage: Bacteria; Pseudomonadati
Also listed under: 1 other name
Rfam family: tRNA
About the family: Transfer RNA (tRNA) molecules are approximately 80 nucleotides in length. Their secondary structure includes four short double-helical elements and three loops (D, anti-codon, and T loops).
Source: Rfam by way of RNAcentral
CGCGGGGUAGAGCAGUUGGUAGCUCAUCGGGCUCAUAACCCGGGGGUCACAGGUUCGAGUCCUGUCCCCGCUA